GUCUACGGCCAUACUACCCUGAACACACCCAAUCCAGUCUGAUCUUGGAAGCUAAGCAGGGUUGAGCCUGUUAGUAUUUGGAUGGGAGAAUACAACCAAAGGUCACAGGCCAGCUAGCCU
RNAcentral lists this ribosomal RNA (120 nucleotides) under Jaculus jaculus (lesser Egyptian jerboa). Lineage: Eukaryota; Metazoa; Chordata; Mammalia; Rodentia; Dipodidae. The record is from RNAcentral.